UCCGGGUUGGACCCGGCGGUCCCGCCAGACAUGGUAACUGGCAGCGAGGGUUGCGCUCGUUGCGGGACUUAACCCAACACCUCACGGCACGAGCUGACGACAGCCGUGCAGCACCUGCGCACGCUCCCUCGCGGGUCCCUCGGCUUUCGCCUCGGUACCACGUGCACGUCAAGCCCGGGUAAGGUUCUUCGCGUUGCAUCGAAUUAAACCACACGCUCCGCUGCUUGUGCGGGCCCCCGUCAAUUCCUUUGAGUUUUAGCCUUGCGGCCGUAGUCCCCAGGCGGGGCACUCACUGCGUUAGCGGCGGCACCGGGGGGGUCGAUACCCCCGACACCUCGUGCCCAUCGUUUACGGCGUGGACUAC
Molecule: unclassified non-coding RNA, 364 nt
Filed under: uncultured Chloroflexota bacterium
Lineage: Bacteria; Bacillati; Chloroflexota
Description: uncultured Chloroflexi bacterium contains 16S-23S intergenic spacer region
Source: RNAcentral